CUUCGUGCCAGCAGCCGCGGUAAUACGUAGGGGGCCAGCGUUGCUCGGAAUUACUGGGCGUAAAGGGUCCGUAGGCGGUGUGGCAAGUCGGGAGUGAAAUCUCUGGGCUUAACUCAGAGGCUGCUUCCGAAACUGCCGUGCUAGAGUGUGAGAGAGGCGAGUGGAAUUGCGGGUGUAGCGGUGAAAUGCGUAGAUAUCCGCAGGAACAUCCGAGGCGAAAGCGGCUCGCUGGAUCACAACUGACGCUGAGGGACGAAAGCUAGGGGAGCAAACAGGAUUAGAUACCCUGGUAGUCCUAGCCCUAAACCAUCAGGACUUGGGGUUUGCCCUGUACGGGGCAAGUCCCGUAGCUAACGCGUUAAGUCCUGCGCCUGGGGAGUACGGUCGCAAGACUGAAACUCAAAGGAAUUGACGGGGGCCCGCACAAGCGGUGGAACAUGUGGUUCAAUUCGACGCAACGCGAAGAACCUUACCUGGGCUUGAACCGCACAGGACCAUCUUUGGAAACAGAGACUUCCCGCAAGGGACCUGUGUAGAGGUGCUGCAUGGCUGUCGUCAGCUCGUGCCGUGAGGUGUUGGGUUAAGUCCCGCAACGAGCGCAACCCUUACUCUUAGUUGCCACCCGCAAGGGGGAACUCUAAGAGGACUGCUCCGGAUAACGGAGAGGAAGGUGGGGAUGAGGUCAAGUCAGCAUGGCCUUUAUGUCCAGGGCAACACACGUGUUACAAUGCGCGCCACAAAGCGUUGCAAACCCGCGAGGGGGAGCUAAUCGCAAAAAAGCGCGCUCAGUUCGGAUUGCAGUCUGCAACUCGACUGCAUGAAGCCGGAAUCGCUAGUAAUGGCGCAUCAGAACGGCGCCGUGAAUACGUUCCCGGGCCUUGUACACACCGCCCGUCACAUCACGAAAGUGGGCUGUACUAGAAAUCACCGUGCCAACCGUAAGGAGGCAGGUGCUCAAGGUAUGACUCAUGAUUGGGGUGAAGUCGUAACAAGGUAACC
RNAcentral lists this ribosomal RNA (999 nucleotides) under uncultured Acidobacteriota bacterium. RNAcentral describes it as "bacterial SSU rRNA". It matches the Rfam family "Bacterial small subunit ribosomal RNA", at positions 501 to 1501 of the family's 1533-position model. The record is from RNAcentral. Lineage: Bacteria; Pseudomonadati; Acidobacteriota.